Molecule: ribosomal RNA, 166 nt
Filed under: Priestia megaterium
Lineage: Bacteria; Bacillati; Bacillota; Bacilli; Caryophanales; Bacillaceae
Description: Bacillus megaterium partial 16S ribosomal RNA
Rfam family: Bacterial small subunit ribosomal RNA
Source: RNAcentral
UACGGAGAGUUUGAUCCUGGCUCAGGAUGAACGCUGGCGGCGUGCCUAAUACAUGCAAGUCGAGCGAACUGAUUAGAAGCUUGCUUCUAUGACGUUAGCGGCGGACGGGUGAGUAACACGUGGGCAACCUGCCUGUAAGACUGGGAUAACUUCGGGAAACCGAAGC